ACUCCUACGGGAGGCAGCAGUGGGGAAUAUUGCACAAUGGGCGCAAGCCUGAUGCAGCCAUGCCGCGUGUGUGAAGAAGGCCUUCGGGUUGUAAAGCACUUUCAGUCGUGAGGAAGGUAGUGUAGUUAAUAGCUGCAUUAUUUGACGUUAGCGACAGAAGAAGCACCGGCUAACUCCGUGCCAGCAGCCGCGGUAAUACGGAGGGUGCGAGCGUUAAUCGGAAUUACUGGGCGUAAAGCGCAUGCAGGCGGCCUGUUAAGUCAGAUGUGAAAGCCCGGGGCUUAACCUCGGAAUUGCAUUUGAAACUGGCAGGCUAGAGUCUUGUAGAGGGGGGUAGAAUUUCAGGUGUAGCGGUGAAAUGCGUAGAGAUCUGAAGGAAUACCAGUGGCGAAGGCGGCCCCCUGGACAAAGACUGACGCUCAGAUGCGAAAGCGUGGGGAGCAAACAGGAUUAGAUACCCUGGUAGGAUAGCG
This 473-nucleotide ribosomal RNA is filed under the name uncultured bacterium. RNAcentral describes it as "bacterial SSU rRNA". It matches the Rfam family "Bacterial small subunit ribosomal RNA", at positions 335 to 799 of the family's 1533-position model. The record is from RNAcentral.